RNAcentral lists this ribosomal RNA (253 nucleotides) under uncultured bacterium. RNAcentral's name for it is "partial 16S ribosomal RNA". It matches the Rfam family "Bacterial small subunit ribosomal RNA", at positions 524 to 776 of the family's 1533-position model. The record is from RNAcentral.
UACGGAGGGUGCAAGCAUUAAUCGGAUUUAUUGGGCGUAAAGGGCGCGUAGGCGGGAAAGUAAGUCAGACGUGAAAUCCCGGGGCUCAACCCCGGAACAGCAUUUGAAACUGCUUUUCUUGAGGGUAGGAGGAGAAAACGGAAUUCCACAUGUAGCGGUGAAAUGCGUAGAUAUGUGGAAGAACACCUGUGGCGAAGGCGGUUUUCUAUUUUAUACCUGACGCUAAAGCGCGAAAGCAAGGGGAUCAAACAGG